GUCAAAGUGGCCGAGUGGUUUUAAGGCGUUGCCCUGCUAUAUUUAAAUAGUUAGGCAUUGGGCUCUGCCCGCGCAGGUUCGAGUCCUGUCUUUGACG
Sugiyamaella lignohabitans is the source of this 97-nucleotide transfer RNA. It matches the Rfam family "tRNA". Rfam says of the family: Transfer RNA (tRNA) molecules are approximately 80 nucleotides in length. Their secondary structure includes four short double-helical elements and three loops (D, anti-codon, and T loops). NCBI's taxonomy places the organism in Eukaryota, Fungi, Ascomycota, Dipodascomycetes, Dipodascales, Trichomonascaceae. The record is from Rfam.